This 440-nucleotide ribosomal RNA is filed under the name uncultured bacterium. RNAcentral's name for it is "partial 16S ribosomal RNA". It matches the Rfam family "Bacterial small subunit ribosomal RNA", at positions 338 to 795 of the family's 1533-position model. The record is from RNAcentral.
CCUACGGGUGGCAGCAGUGGGGGAUAUUGCACAAUGGGGGAAACCCUGAUGCAGCGACGCCGCGUGGGUGAAGAAGCGCCUCGGCGCGUAAAGCCCUGUCAGCAGGGAAGAAAAUGACGGUACCUGAAGAAGAAGCCCCGGGUAACUACGGGCCAGCAGCCGCGGUAAUACGUAGGGGGCAAGCGUUAUCCGGAUUUACUGGGUGUAAAGGGGGCGCAGACGGGGAUGCAAGCCAGGAGUGAAAGCCCGGGGCCCAACCCCGGGACUGCUGUUGGAACUGCGUGGCUAGAGUGCAGGAGGGGCAGGCGGAAUUCGUGGUGUAGCGGUGAAAUGCGUAGAUAUCGGGAGGAACACCGGUGGCGAAGGCGGCCUGCUGGACUGCAACUGACGUUGAGGCCCGAAAGCGUGGGGAGCAAACAGGAUUAGAUACCCUUGUAGUC